RNAcentral lists this ribosomal RNA (247 nucleotides) under uncultured bacterium. RNAcentral describes it as "partial small subunit ribosomal RNA". It matches the Rfam family "Bacterial small subunit ribosomal RNA", at positions 26 to 286 of the family's 1533-position model. The record is from RNAcentral.
AGAAUCAACGCUGGCGGCGUGCCUAACACAUGCAAGUCGAACGAGAAAGUGGUAGCAAUACCAUGAGUACAGUGGCGCACGGGUGAGUAACACGUGACUAACCUACCCUGGAGUGGGGGAUAACUGAGGGAACCUUAGCUAAUACCGCAUAAUACCUACGGGUCAAAGGAGCAAUUCGCUUCAGGAGGGGGUCGCGGCCGAUUAGUUAGUUGGCGGGGUAAUGGCCCACCAAGACAGUGAUCGGUAU